RNAcentral lists this ribosomal RNA (510 nucleotides) under uncultured bacterium. Its description in RNAcentral is "bacterial SSU rRNA". It matches the Rfam family "Bacterial small subunit ribosomal RNA", at positions 28 to 527 of the family's 1533-position model. The record is from RNAcentral.
GACGAACGCUGGCGGCGUGGAUUAGGCAUGCAAGUCGAACGGUAUCAUCCUUUCGGGGGUGAGAGAGUGGCGAACUGGUGAGUAACACGUAGGUUAUCUACCCUCAAGACGGGGACAACCCAGGGAAACUUGGGCUAAUACCGGAUGUGAGCAACUUUUAGUUGUUUGAAAGGUGGCGUAAGCUGUCGCUUGGGGAUGAGCCUGCGUCCUAUUAGUUAGUUGGUGAGGUAACGGCUCACCUAGGCAAUGAUAGGUAGGCGGCCUUAACGGGUGGUCGCCCACACUGGGAUUGAGAUACGGCCCAGACUCCUACGGGAGGCAGCAGUCGAGAAUAGUCUACAAUGGUCGGAAGACUGAUAGUGCGACGCCGCGUGAACGAUGAAUCCCUUCGGGGUGUAAAGUUCUUUUAUAUGUGAGCAGUGCUUCUUAUAUUAACAGUAUGGGGAGAGAGAUAUUAGCAUAUGAAUAAGCAACGGCUAACUCCGUGCCAGCAGCCGCGGUAAAGACACG